RNAcentral lists this small RNA (104 nucleotides) under Photorhabdus asymbiotica. Its description in RNAcentral is "SraH RNA". The record is from RNAcentral. Lineage: Bacteria; Pseudomonadati; Pseudomonadota; Gammaproteobacteria; Enterobacterales; Morganellaceae.
GUACGGAGAAUUCCUCAUUUACUCGCCCCAACAAAUAUGUAUCAGAUGGCGGGUAAAAAGUUUUCCCUGGUGUUGGCGCAGUAUUCGCGCACCCCAACCUCGGU